RNAcentral lists this ribosomal RNA (741 nucleotides) under Enterococcus faecium. Its description in RNAcentral is "bacterial SSU rRNA". It matches the Rfam family "Bacterial small subunit ribosomal RNA", at positions 76 to 804 of the family's 1533-position model. The record is from RNAcentral. Lineage: Bacteria; Bacillati; Bacillota; Bacilli; Lactobacillales; Enterococcaceae.
UCCACCGGAAAAAGAGGAGUGGCGAACGGGUGAGUAACACGUGGGUAACCUGCCCAUCAGAAGGGGAUAACACUUGGAAACAGGUGCUAAUACCGUAUAACAAUCAAAACCGCAUGGUUUUGAUUUGAAAGGCGCUUUCGGGUGUCGCUGAUGGAUGGACCCGCGGUGCAUUAGCUAGUUGGUGAGGUAACGGCUCACCAAGGCCACGAUGCAUAGCCGACCUGAGAGGGUGAUCGGCCACAUUGGGACUGAGACACGGCCCAAACUCCUACGGGAGGCAGCAGUAGGGAAUCUUCGGCAAUGGACGAAAGUCUGACCGAGCAACGCCGCGUGAGUGAAGAAGGUUUUCGGAUCGUAAAACUCUGUUGUUAGAGAAGAACAAGGAUGAGAGUAACUGUUCAUCCCUUGACGGUAUCUAACCAGAAAGCCACGGCUAACUACGUGCCAGCAGCCGCGGUAAUACGUAGGUGGCAAGCGUUGUCCGGAUUUAUUGGGCGUAAAGCGAGCGCAGGCGGUUUCUUAAGUCUGAUGUGAAAGCCCCCGGCUCAACCGGGGAGGGUCAUUGGAAACUGGGAGACUUGAGUGCAGAAGAGGAGAGUGGAAUUCCAUGUGUAGCGGUGAAAUGCGUAGAUAUAUGGAGGAACACCAGUGGCGAAGGCGGCUCUCUGGUCUGUAACUGACGCUGAGGCUCGAAAGCGUGGGGAGCAAACAGGAUUAGAUACCCUGGUAGUCCACGCCGUA